UACGUAGGGUGCAAGCGUUGUCCGGAAUUAUUGGGCGUAAAGAGCUCGUAGGCGGUCUGUCACGUCGACUGUGAAAACCCGGGGCUCAACUCCGGGCCUGCAGUCGAUACGGGCUGGCUUGAGUGCGGUAGGGGAGACUGGAAUUCCUGGUGUAGCGGUGAAAUGCGCAGAUAUCAGGAGGAACACCGGUGGCGAAGGCGGGUCUCUGGGCCGUAACUGACGCUGAGGAGCGAAAGCGUGGGGAGCAAACAGG
Molecule: ribosomal RNA, 253 nt
Filed under: uncultured bacterium
Lineage: Bacteria
Description: partial 16S ribosomal RNA
Rfam family: Bacterial small subunit ribosomal RNA
Source: RNAcentral